AACAUGUCCUGAAGAUAAUAAUUUUAGGUCUGAUCUGCUCCAUGAUUGAAAAAUUAAAUAGCUGCAGGAUAUAUUGUACAAAGGUAGCAUAAUCAAUAGUUUUUUAAUUGAAAGCUUGAAUGAAAGAUUUGAUAAGGUAAAUAUUGUCUCAAAAUUAUUAGAUUUAAAAGUUUAUUUUUAGUUAAAAAUCUAAAAUGAAUUUAAAAGACGAGAAGACCCUAUAGAUUUUUAUAUUUUUUAUUAAUAAUAUAUUUAAAUUAUUAAAUAAAAUUUUAUUAAAAAAUAUUAGGUUGGGGAAAUUAUUAAAUUAAAGAAAUUUUAAUAAAUAAAUAUAAAACUUUAAUUAAAGAUUAAAUGAUCUUAAUAAUUUAGAUUGAAAGAGUAAAAUACCUUAGGGAUAACAGCAUAAUUUUUUUGGAUAGAUCUUAUUGAUAAAAAAGUUUGUGACCUCGAUGUUGAAUUAAGAUUAAAUAUUAAAGAAGAAUUUAAUAAAUUUUGGUCUGUUCGACCAUUAAAAUCUUACGUGAUCUGA
This 532-nucleotide ribosomal RNA is filed under the name Baryceros audax. RNAcentral describes it as "partial 16S large subunit ribosomal RNA". The stretch from base 397 to 532 matches the Rfam family "Archaeal large subunit ribosomal RNA", at positions 2544 to 2679 of the family's 2987-position model. The record is from RNAcentral. Lineage: Eukaryota; Metazoa; Arthropoda; Insecta; Hymenoptera; Ichneumonidae.